AAAUCAUUGUUUACAUUGCAAUGUCUAUAAGCAUGCAUACAAAUGCGAAUGGACUUAAUCGUAUAUUCUCUUCAGCAGAACAUUAUCAAUAAUCCAACAGUUGAUUGAUCAAUAUGAUUUUGCAUAUUUGAAUAAGAAAGAGAGCCUAAUCAACUCUCGACAUCGAUUUCUGUCGACGAGGGUAAUUUGGCAUUUGAUAUUUACGAGUUGCCAUGAGUGCUUUUAUCCGUUGCCGUAAUGUGAUUUGUCGUUUCUAUUUGUAUUCAGCGCACAGCCAUCGAAUUGCUUAGAUGCUAGAUCGGAAGAGAGGUUCA
Molecule: long non-coding RNA, 314 nt
Organism: Drosophila busckii
Lineage: Eukaryota; Metazoa; Arthropoda; Insecta; Diptera; Drosophilidae
Exons: 4
Source: RefSeq, a predicted model, not a curated record